GAUGAACGCUGGCGGUGUGCCUAAUACAUGCAAGUCGAACGGACUCUUAUCUGAUCCUUGUCUCAGACCUUUACGGGUCGGAGCUAUGGAUCGGUAAGAGUUAGUGGCGGACGGGUGAGUAACACGUUGGUACCUGCCCCGAAGUGGGAAGUAACUGCCCGAAAGGGUAGCUAAUACCGCAUAAUACCGCAAGGUUAAAGCAGUAAUGCGCGUUCGGGGAGGGGCCGU
RNAcentral lists this ribosomal RNA (228 nucleotides) under uncultured bacterium. Its description in RNAcentral is "partial 16S ribosomal RNA". It matches the Rfam family "Bacterial small subunit ribosomal RNA", at positions 28 to 233 of the family's 1533-position model. The record is from RNAcentral.